Long non-coding RNA from Clupea harengus (Atlantic herring), 1212 nucleotides. RefSeq lists it as uncharacterized. Lineage: Eukaryota; Metazoa; Chordata; Actinopteri; Clupeiformes; Clupeidae. The transcript is spliced from 3 exons. The record is from RefSeq and is a predicted model, not a curated record.
UGCAGUUAAACCAAUGGUUGACAACAAAGCUCCCAGAACGUUUACACACUGUCACAUGAAAAUGAAGAAAAUGCAGAUGGAGCAAGAGCGUCUGAUGGAGGUGGAGAGGGACAACAGACUGCUGGUGUCCAGAAUUGCCCGCACCAUGGCCAAAGGAGGCCUGGACAACUGGAACGAGUCCUAUGAGGUCUAUUCAAAGAACUGGUCUGUCCCCCGCAUCUUCAUCAAACACAUAUUAAAUAUAAUGUAAAUAUUACAGACAGGCACACUUUGACGUCAGCCGCUCCUCUGGAACCAUUUUUACGUGGCUGAGCUUUGCUCUUAAAGGUUAAAACAAACAUGCAGAUAGAAGACAAUUCAAGCAUCAAUACGCCACAUGCACCUACUAGUGGAUUAUGGCGCUCUAAUUUGCAUUAAGAAAAAGGUUUAUGGCACAAACAUUUUCACAGUUUUCUCUCUCUCUCUCUCCAUUUCUUGAAUAAGUCUUAAGUCUUAAGUUUUCAAGACAAAAAAAAAUCUCUACUCACGAAACCAUUCAUGUUCUUGGUGUGUUCCAAUUAACCCCAUAUUGAACAGCUUUUUGUACUGUGAGUAUUAAUAACAACCAGACAUGGUUUUAAAAUAUCUGGACCCGUGCGUGCAUUCCUGUUGGCUGGAGCUGGUUGAAACUGCUGUCCUGAAAUGCAUCUGGUGAACUGUAUCCAUCAUUUCCUGUAGUAGGAGUGAAGAUGUGAGGAACCGAGAGCUGGUGAAGAUUUCCCUGGAGAACCAGGCUAUCCUCAACAAGAUCAACAUGACCAAGCCUGUGUACGACCACAAGCAAUGGCUGAAUGACUUCAAAGUGACAAGAGAAUAUAUGAAACGUCUGAUAAAGUAGCCACAAACAGACACAACCAAGGUGAUGCAUCAUAACGUAAAAACACUGUCAGGUGGAUACUUAGUAUAAAUAACAAGAACCUUGCAUUUAUCAGUGUUUCGAUGUUUCAGUAUUACGGUUGUCAUGAAUGAAUCACCACACUUAUGAUCAAAGAAACCAAGCCUUCAAAACUGUCUUUUUGUCUUCUUCACAGGUGCCCGCUUUGAACCUGAUUAAUUGACCAACAUCAACUCCAACACUGCAGUUUAUCCACCAGCUAUUUUAUUGUAUAGUUUUGUAUGGUGUAAUUCAAAAGCAAAUAAUGCCAAAUCAAUAAAAUGCAACAGUGUUUACUA